CUUUAGGUAUCGCUCGCUCGCUCGCCAGCCCGAUCCCGGUGUCGCUAGCUCGUUCUCCUUUUUCGUCAGCUUGGGAUCGGGGUUAGGUGUCGGGGCGCGGGGAGUGAGGAGGGAGGGAGCAGACGGCGGUGAGGGAGGGUGGAGGAGGAGGAUACGGGAUCCUCGGGGCGGCGGAUGACGAUGAGGAGGUGGCGGAGCGGAGAAGGAGGAGGAAUGGACGGGUAGCGAGCAGAAGUCCGACGUCACCACCAAGGGCUAGACUCGGCAGAAGUCCACGCACCUCGCUGCCUCCAGCCGAGGGAGGAAGAGGUGCCAGAGCGCCGCCCUCUCCUCAGUCGGGGCCACGAGACGGAGAGGUAGGCAGAGGCGUUCGGUAGCAGGCUACGGCAGCAACGGGCGGUAGUAGAACGAGCGACGCACGAACGAUCUCUCGGUACCGAAAGGAGUGACAUCCAAGACGGUACCGAAAAGAACAGGGCAGAGUGAGCGGAGGGGGAGGAGCAGUGGGAGGAGAGAGAGAGAGGGGGCGCCGAUGCUAAGUCCGAUCCCAAGUCCGCGGAAGGGAAGAGAGGAGGAGAUGGGUUGCGGCGGAGGGGAGGAAAGAGAGGAAGAGGUGAUUGCUCCGGCCCCGCCGCCGCGCCUGUUCUUUGACACCCGAGAGGAGGCGUUUAGAGAUGGCCCUGCUGCCAUCGGGCUCCUCCUAGGGGCCAGUUGCCGCGGGGCCCGCGAGUGACGGUUCUUCGGCGGCCUCCUCCUUGAGCUGGACCUGCUGGCGGCGACCUGCUUCUCGGGGCUUUUUUAGGGGGUUGGUGGGGACGCGGUGGCGGAGAAGUGGAAGCUGGUGCCCAACGUUGCCAGUCUCCUGGUUCAACCUCGUAUGAUCCGUUUACCCGGAAUGGCACUCAGCACCACGUUGUCACUGGAGCUACCCGUCCCGUUACCAGUCUAUGCUCAGUCGUGGUUUCUACUGAUAUUCGUGAGUUUUUUCAAAUGGUGCGAUCCCGCUACAGUCCAACAUGCUCCCAUCAAUCACUUAUAUGAACACUGUGAAUAUGAGAGUCGUUACGGCUGUUUGUACCAAAUACUACUAUAACCACCAGACUUCGAAAUCUAGCAGCCCCGACGAGAGUAAGCAAGUUAAACGGUCACUAGGGAAGGUAAGAUGACAACGAGUAAUAAUAGUAUACUUCCUCCACAAGAAGGUAAUGUUAUGAGGACUGCACAAAGUACUUUACAGAUACUCGACCAUACAACAAGUAAGAGAAAAAAAAAGAACGUCCGACUAGAUACAAGAGACAAACAACCCAGGAGGCACAGUAAUACUUGUUCCUUGUACAUAUAGGAAAGUUCAAGUGACUACACCAAUGGUGAUGUUGUGUGCAGGGAGGUUCCUGGUUCCCACCCGUACUAGAAGAUGUUCAAAAUCCACUACAUGCAGCACUUCGCCCUGCCCGCCUGCCUCUGCCACGUGAAGCUGUUCUAGUGCCACGCCGAUUUCUUCGAGUCGAUACCCGAGUCGGUCCUCGUGGCGCUGGGGCACGAGCCAGACGCAGUCCCAUAUGUACCCACAGUGGUGGUCGGUCGAGCUGCUCGAGCGGCGGCUCUGGCGGCGGGGCGAGUGGCGGAGGGUCGGUCUGAUACGGAGGGAACGCCGCUCCUAACAACACAGGUUGGACGGCGGUUCACCUUUAUCAGACACACCGCGAGCAUUUAUCUCUCGUAAAACCAUCUUUCUACUUAUAAUCGCUCUGACCGAUUUAAGACUUGUACAAGGUACACUCUCUUUAUCGUACAACUAAAGUAGAACUUUAUUAGUAUCGACUCCCUGCUCGAAUCAUUGACUCCCAGUACACAUUUCGACUUCCUUCUUCAACGCUCCGAACCUUGAGAGGAACACUUCCCGAGUCCCCGUCGUCACUCCUGUUACGGAGAAAUCAACAUUAACACUAUGAGGACUAAACGUUCAUUUGUGAGUACACUAUGAUUUAUAACCAACAAUCAUGUUUCCACCACUGUAAUCAACCAAGGGACCAUAACUAAAGUACUAAACACCAAUUAUGUACUACAUUAUGUUAGGUGUGACGUAAUAUAAAGGUCAAUGUAGAGAAUGAAUGAGU
Molecule: ribosomal RNA, 2117 nt
Filed under: Triticum aestivum (bread wheat)
Lineage: Eukaryota; Viridiplantae; Streptophyta; Magnoliopsida; Poales; Poaceae
Description: partial small subunit ribosomal RNA
Source: RNAcentral